This 445-nucleotide ribosomal RNA is filed under the name uncultured bacterium. Its description in RNAcentral is "SSU rRNA". It matches the Rfam family "Bacterial small subunit ribosomal RNA", at positions 26 to 518 of the family's 1533-position model. The record is from RNAcentral.
AGAACGAACGCUGGCGGCAGGCCUCAAACAUGCAAGUCUAGGGGGCGUAGCAAUACGUCACCGGCGGACGGGUGCGUAACACGUGGGAAUGUACUUAUUGGUUCGGAACAACUCAGGGAAACUUGAGCUAAUACCGAAUGUGCCCGAAAGGGGAAAGAUUUAUCGCCAAUAAAUCAGCCCGCGUCCGAUUAGCUAGUUGGUGGGGUAAAGGCCCACCAAGGCGACGAUCGGUAGCUGUUCUGAGAGGAAGAUCAGCCACACUGGGACUGAGACACGGCCCAGACUCCUACGGGAGGCAGCAGUUGGGAAUCUUGGACAAUGGGGAAACCCUGAUCCAGCCAUGCCGCGUGAGUGAUGAAGGCCUUCGGGUUGUAAAACUCUUUCGACGGGGACGAUAAUGACGGUACCCGUAGAAGAGCUCGGCUAACUUCGCGCCAGCAGCCGC